UGCAAGUCGAACGAGAAAGGCACCUUCGGGUGCUGAGUAAAGUGGCGCACGGGUGAGUAACGCGUGAACGACCUACCCUUGAGAGGGGGACAACCCGCCGAAAGGCGGGCUAAUACCGCAUGAAGCCGUGGCAUUGAGGUGCCAUGGUUAAAGAUGGGGACCUUCGGGCCUAUCGCUUAAGGAGGGGUUCGCGUCCGAUUAGCUAGUAGGUGGGGUAACGGCCCACCUAGGCGACGAUCGGUAGCUGGUCUGAGAGGAUGAUCAGCCACACUGGAACUGAGACACGGUCCAGACUCCUACGGGAGGCAGCAGUGGGGAAUUUUGCGCAAUGGGGGCAACCCUGACGCAGCGACGCCGCGUAGGUGAUGAAGCUUUUUGGAGUGUAAAACCUUGUCACCGGUGACGAAGUUCAUAUUCAGUAAUAUGGGAUAUGGAUUGACGGUAGCCGGAGAGGAAGCCCCGGCUAACUCCGUGCCAGCAGCCGCGGUAACACGGGGGGGGCGAGCGUUAUUCGGAAUUACUGGGCGUAAAGGGCGCGUAGGCGGUCCGUUAAGUGUGAAGUGAAAUGCCUGGGCUCAACCUGGGACGUGCUUUGCAUACUGGUGGACUUGAGUCCAAGAGGGGGUGGUGGAAUUCCUGGUGUAGGGGUGAAAUCCGUAGAUAUCAGGAGGAACACCGUUGGCGAAGGCGGCCACCUGGAUUGGUACUGACGCUGA
RNAcentral lists this ribosomal RNA (716 nucleotides) under uncultured bacterium. Its description in RNAcentral is "bacterial SSU rRNA". It matches the Rfam family "Bacterial small subunit ribosomal RNA", at positions 56 to 749 of the family's 1533-position model. The record is from RNAcentral.